UUGAUUACUCAGCUUAAAUUAGUUUUUGGGAUGAUUUCUGUUGUGUUCAAUUGGAAACGAGAUCUAAAAGUGUUCAGAAUGCUAAAACUCACGAUUAAUAUUCGCUUGAAACUUGAAAAAACUCAAAUAAAUCGGGGAAUCCCACUCGAAAACCUUUCAAGUAUCUGGAUUUUCGGUUUCUGAGAAAUAUGGAUCUAGUGAAGGGACAGAUUACCUUUACCUGGCCACCCGAAGAAAUUAAAAGGGUUGAAACUGUCUGAAAAGACCUCUUUCGAUUUUAACUGUCCUCUGAGUUUUUGUGUUUCUCAAAUCAUUGUUGUCCCCAUCAACAUCAGUACUGUUUGUAUUCACGCAAAAUUGGUAAAACUCAGAAUCUUGUUACAACGAUGGUUGUAACAAGUUGCUAAAGGAUGCUCUAAUGAGCAGAACAAAAAUGAGACAAAGAGUUUCCACAGGUUUCCUUUUAAACGCCCAGAUAUUUUGGAACUUUGGAUUACUGCUGUAGGAAGGGAAAAUUGGUAUCCCUCAAAGUAUAGUAGAAUAUGUGAAGAUUACCUUCAUAAUCCAAGUUAUACAA
Long non-coding RNA from Coccinella septempunctata (seven-spotted ladybird), 577 nucleotides. RefSeq lists it as uncharacterized. The transcript has 3 exons. NCBI's taxonomy places the organism in Eukaryota, Metazoa, Arthropoda, Insecta, Coleoptera, Coccinellidae. The record is from RefSeq and is a predicted model, not a curated record.